GCGUAUUAGCUCAGUUGGAUAGAGCGUAGCCUUCGCAAGGCUUAGGUCGCGGGUUCGACUCCCGCAUACGGACA
This 74-nucleotide transfer RNA is filed under the name Faecalibacterium prausnitzii. RNAcentral describes it as "tRNA-Ala". It matches the Rfam family "tRNA". From Rfam's summary of the family: Transfer RNA (tRNA) molecules are approximately 80 nucleotides in length. Their secondary structure includes four short double-helical elements and three loops (D, anti-codon, and T loops). The record is from RNAcentral. Lineage: Bacteria; Bacillati; Bacillota; Clostridia; Eubacteriales; Oscillospiraceae.